GACCCUGCAGGUCUAAAGCAUUCACGUACUGUUUCUCUGUAGCCGACCAAACUGUUCCGCAGAAGUGUGCUCAAAUUGGGAUUGGGUAUGUUAGCAUCACCUCUAAGGUUGUGAAAUCACGUGGAGGUGUGAAAUCGAACGUUGUGUCGGAUCUACAUGGAAUCAAGAAAAAGAGGCAGCUGUGGGGGACAGGUGCAGCUGUAGCGUCUGAUGAUUCCAAAGGGGUAAGGCGCUCUUGAAAUAGCUGCCGUGGAUGCAAGCUGGUAGCCAGGUCUACGUGAUCAAUACACACCAGUGCCUAUGGUAUAAUGGGACAUUCGAAGCCAGAUAACGUCGAAAAGUCACAAUGAACAGCAGUGGAAAGUGAAGUGCUUCUGGCAGAAUUACCCAAGGUCAGCUUUAUCAAACAAUCUGCAAACUGUGGCGUACAACAAGAGUCAGAGACUGCUAGAGUUGAUCAUGUAGGCGAUGAGAACGCAUCAAGCGACUCUGAGUUUGAUAUGAACACCCAACAAACACCUGUACUUGAAACAUCAGAGACAUCAGAUGAUGGAGCUUCAAGCGGGCAGGAUACCAGUUUCAUUGAUUUUCAAGGCAUAUUUCAGUAUGAUGAGGAAUCAACAAACCAGACUCAGAAGUCAUCUGUUGAAGUUAGGGUUGACUUGGCUGUUACUCACACUAAACCACCCAGAGUAAUAAUUAUACCUGAUGAAUCCGAUAUGAAAGGUACAUUUUAUGAUAUCAUAGAUGAAGAAUCACAAGCAGUUUCUUCUGGUUAAUCUCCUAAAAAUAGACAAAGGACGUUAAUCCACAGCAGUCUCCAUCGUUUCUCAAACAUCAGAAGAUGAUGCUUACCUAUCUCUGAGUCAGUGGCUUGCCGUGCUGCUGCUAAAACUUCAGUUACAGUACUAUGUUUGUAGCACAGUGAUGGUCCUCUUCAGGAAAUAUUGUGGUCUUACUAGCAUGUGGUAACUCAUCCUUAGCAACCCCAUUUCCUACUACAAUGCAUAAACUGUUUGCCUGUAGCAGGAUUAGUAAACGUUCAA
This is a long non-coding RNA of Corticium candelabrum, 1046 nucleotides long. RefSeq lists it as uncharacterized. Lineage: Eukaryota; Metazoa; Porifera; Homoscleromorpha; Homosclerophorida; Plakinidae. The record is from RefSeq and is a predicted model, not a curated record. The transcript is spliced from 3 exons.